UACGGGGGGGGCAAGCGUUGUUCGGAAUUACUGGGCGUAAAGGGCUCGUAGGUGGCCAACUAAGUCAGACGUGAAAUCCCUCGGCUUAACCGGGGAACUGCGUCUGAUACUGGAUGGCUUGAGUUCGGGAGAGGGAUGCGGAAUUCCAGGUGUAGCGGUGAAAUGCGUAGAUAUCUGGAGGAACACCGGUGGCGAAGACGGCAUCCUGGACCGACACUGACACUGAGGAGCGAAAGCCAGGGGAGCAAACGGG
RNAcentral lists this ribosomal RNA (253 nucleotides) under uncultured bacterium. Its description in RNAcentral is "partial 16S ribosomal RNA". It matches the Rfam family "Bacterial small subunit ribosomal RNA", at positions 524 to 776 of the family's 1533-position model. The record is from RNAcentral.